RNAcentral lists this transfer RNA (71 nucleotides) under Candidatus Yanofskyibacteriota bacterium. RNAcentral describes it as "Candidatus Yanofskybacteria bacterium tRNA-Gln". It matches the Rfam family "tRNA". Rfam says of the family: Transfer RNA (tRNA) molecules are approximately 80 nucleotides in length. Their secondary structure includes four short double-helical elements and three loops (D, anti-codon, and T loops). Lineage: Bacteria; Candidatus Yanofskyibacteriota. The record is from RNAcentral.
UGGGGGGUCGUCUAAUGGUCGGACUGUGCCCUUUGAAGGCAUCUAUCCUGGUUCGAGUCCAGGCCCCCCAG